CUUUGGAGUAUAAUCGUGAACAUAUUAUUGUAUUUCCCGAAUGGGCAAACUUCCUAUGCAUCCAGCAAUAAACUCACCAACUACGUGUGGUAUUUUGAAGGAAUCUGUUUCUCAGGCAUCAUGAUGCUUAUAGUAACAACAGUUCUUCUGGUACUGGAGAAUAAUAACAACUAUAAAUGUUGCCAGAGUGAAAACUGCAGCAAAAAAUAUGUGGUAAGAGCAACAGUUUUUUUGAGGAUGGUUGAGUGGGCUCCAGCUUUCUUUCCUCUCACUCAGAAACACAAAAAUAUUGACAGUAUUAUACCCUCACUACUGUUGAGUACAGUACAGAGAUCAAGAGUUUACUGCCAAGAUCAUCUUCCAUUUUGCUUAGUCUUUCCUCCACUUUUGUUCUACUGAUGCACUUUCAGAAAAUCAGCAUUUAAAGAUACCUAAAAUUAGGAAAUAAUACUUUUUUUUCCUAACUGAGUUUCCAUUAGUCUAUUUUUUCUUUACAAACUUUAUUGAGGGCUAAAUUACAUAUAAUAAGUGGCAUCCAUUAAAAGUAUGCAAUAUCAUGAGUUUUAACAGUUGACUACACUCAUGAAACCACCAUUGCAGUCAAGAUAACAGAAU
RNAcentral lists this small RNA (615 nucleotides) under Pan troglodytes (chimpanzee). RNAcentral's name for it is "retained intron". Lineage: Eukaryota; Metazoa; Chordata; Mammalia; Primates; Hominidae. The record is from RNAcentral.